This 63-nucleotide transfer RNA is filed under the name Luprops yunnanus. RNAcentral's name for it is "tRNA-Pro". Lineage: Eukaryota; Metazoa; Arthropoda; Insecta; Coleoptera; Tenebrionidae. The record is from RNAcentral.
CAAGAAAUAGUUUAAUUUAAAAUAUUAAUUUUGGAGAUUAAUGAUAAGUAGUGUUUUUCUUGA